AUGCUGCUAAGGAAGAUGACUCUCUUGGAAGACUGGUGAAUGAUGAUCAUGUUAGCCCAAACAGCAAAAUGAAAACAAUCACAGUAGAGGGGAAACCCCAUCUGUGUUUAUUUGCAACAAGGAGCAUUAGUCCUAAAGAAGAGAUUACAUACAACUACGGUGACUCUGAAUGGCCAUGGAGAUGCAAGACAGCAAAUAAGAAAGACCAACUGCAACCUCAAGAACAGCUGAUGCAGCAGAUCAGGUUGUUCCUGAAGAAGGACCCUCUCCCAGUGCCACAAUAGUGACCCAUUCACC
Trichomycterus rosablanca is the source of this 297-nucleotide long non-coding RNA. RefSeq lists it as uncharacterized. Lineage: Eukaryota; Metazoa; Chordata; Actinopteri; Siluriformes; Trichomycteridae. The record is from RefSeq and is a predicted model, not a curated record. The transcript has 3 exons.